AGUGAACGCUGGCGGUAGGCCUAACACAUGCGAGUCGAACGGCAGCACAGUAAGAGCUUGCUCUUACGGGUGGCGAGUGGCGGACGGGUGAGGAAUACAUCGGAAUCUACUUUUUCGUGGGGGAUAACGUAGGGAAACUUACGCUAAUACCGCAUACGACCUACGGGGGAAAGCAGGGGAUCUUCGGACCUUGCGCGAUUGAACGAGCCGAUGUCGGAUUAGCUAGUUGGCGGGGUAAAGGCCCACCAAGGCGACGAUCCGUAGCUGGUCUGAGAGGAUGAUCGGCCACACUGGAACUGAGACACGGUCCAGACUCCUACGGGAGGGAGCAGUGGGGAAUAUUGGACAAUGGGCGCAAGCCUGAUCCAGCCAUACCGCGUGGGUGAAGAAGGCCUUCGGGUUGUAAAGCCCUUUUGUUGGGAAAGAAAAGCAGCAGGUUAAUACCCCGCUGUUCUGACGGUACCCAAAGAAUAAGCACCGGCUAACUUCGUG
RNAcentral lists this ribosomal RNA (492 nucleotides) under uncultured bacterium. RNAcentral describes it as "partial 16S ribosomal RNA". It matches the Rfam family "Bacterial small subunit ribosomal RNA", at positions 29 to 507 of the family's 1533-position model. The record is from RNAcentral.